RNAcentral lists this ribosomal RNA (519 nucleotides) under fungal sp. UASWS0354. RNAcentral describes it as "eukaryotic LSU rRNA". The stretch from base 152 to 305 matches the Rfam family "5.8S ribosomal RNA". The record is from RNAcentral. Lineage: Eukaryota; Fungi.
UUACCGAGUUUACAACUCCCAAACCCCUGUGAACAUACCAAUUGUUGCCUCGGCGGAUCAGCCCGCUCCCGGUAAAACGGGACGGCCCGCCAGAGGACCCCUAAACUCUGUUUCUAUAUGUAACUUCUGAGUAAAACCAUAAAUAAAUCAAAACUUUCAACAACGGAUCUCUUGGUUCUGGCAUCGAUGAAGAACGCAGCAAAAUGCGAUAAGUAAUGUGAAUUGCAGAAUUCAGUGAAUCAUCGAAUCUUUGAACGCACAUUGCGCCCGCCAGUAUUCUGGCGGGCAUGCCUGUUCGAGCGUCAUUUCAACCCUCAAGCCCCCGGGUUUGGUGUUGGGGAUCGGCGAGCCCUUGCGGCAAGCCGGCCCCGAAAUCUAGUGGCGGUCUCGCUGCAGCUUCCAUUGCGUAGUAGUAAAACCCUCGCAACUGGUACGCGGCGCGGCCAAGCCGUUAAACCCCCAACUUCUGAAUGUUGACCUCGGAUCAGGUAGGAAUACCCGCUGAACUUAAGCAUAUCA